UCCCUGAUAGCUCAGUUGGUAAAGAAUCUGCCUAGAAUGCAGGAGACCCAUGUUCAAUUCCUGGUUCAGGAA
Molecule: non-coding RNA, 72 nt
Organism: Bos taurus (domestic cattle)
Lineage: Eukaryota; Metazoa; Chordata; Mammalia; Artiodactyla; Bovidae
Source: Rfam